UACAGAGGUCUCAAGCGUUGUUCGGAUUCAUUGGGCGUAAAGGGUGCGUAGGCGGCGUCGUAAGUCGGGUGUGAAAUCUCGGGGCUCAACUCCGAAAUUGCAUUCGAUACUGCGGUGCUUGAGGACUGGAGAGGAGACUGGAAUUUACGGUGUAGCAGUGAAAUGCGUAGAGAUCGUAAGGAAGACCAGUGGCGAAGGCGGGUCUCUGGACAGUUCCUGACGCUGAGGCACGAAGGCCAGGGGAGCAAACGGG
This 253-nucleotide ribosomal RNA is filed under the name uncultured bacterium. RNAcentral's name for it is "partial 16S ribosomal RNA". It matches the Rfam family "Bacterial small subunit ribosomal RNA", at positions 524 to 776 of the family's 1533-position model. The record is from RNAcentral.